AUACGUAGGGUGCGAGCGUUGUCCGGAAUUACUGGGCGUAAAGAGCUCGUAGGUGGUUUGUCGCGUCGUCUGUGAAAUUCCGGGGCUUAACUCCGGGCGUGCAGGCGAUACGGGCAUAACUUGAGUACUGUAGGGGAGACUGGAAUUCCUGGUGUAGCGGUGAAAUGCGCAGAUAUCAGGAGGAACACCGGGGGCGAAGGCGGGUCUCUGGGCAGUAACUGACGCGGAGGAGCGAAAGCAUGGGUAGCGAACAGGAUUAGAUACCCUGGUAGUCCAUGCCGUAAACGGUGGGCGCUAGGUGUAGGGGUCUUCCACGACUUCUGUGCCGUAGCUAACGCAUUAAGCGCCCCGCCUGGGGAGUACGGCCGCAAGGCUAAAACUCAAAGGAAUUGACGGGG
Molecule: ribosomal RNA, 398 nt
Filed under: uncultured bacterium
Lineage: Bacteria
Description: partial 16S ribosomal RNA
Rfam family: Bacterial small subunit ribosomal RNA
Source: RNAcentral